This 560-nucleotide ribosomal RNA is filed under the name Peribacillus frigoritolerans. RNAcentral describes it as "bacterial SSU rRNA". It matches the Rfam family "Bacterial small subunit ribosomal RNA", at positions 367 to 919 of the family's 1533-position model. Lineage: Bacteria; Bacillati; Bacillota; Bacilli; Caryophanales; Bacillaceae. The record is from RNAcentral.
CGGGUUGAUGCAGAGUCUGACGGAGCACGCCGCGUGAACGAAGAAGGCCUUCGGGUCGUAAAGUUCUGUUGUUAGGGAAGAACAAGUACCAGAGUAACUGCUGGUACCUUGACGGUACCUAACCAGAAAGCCACGGCUAACUACGUGCCAGCAGCCGCGGUAAUACGUAGGUGGCAAGCGUUGUCCGGAAUUAUUGGGCGUAAAGCGCGCGCAGGUGGUUCYUUAAGUCUGAUGUGAAAGCCCACGGCUCAACCGUGGAGGGUCAUUGGAAACUGGGGAACUUGAGUGCAGAAGAGGAAAGUGGAAUUCCAAGUGUAGCGGUGAAAUGCGUAGAGAUUUGGAGGAACACCAGUGGCGAAGGCGACUUUCUGGUCUGUAACUGACACUGAGGCGCGAAAGCGUGGGGAGCAAACAGGAUUAGAUACCCUGGUAGUCCACGCCGUAAACGAUGAGUGCUAAGUGUUAGAGGGUUUCCGCCCUUUAGUGCUGCAGCUAACGCAUUAAGCACUCCGCCUGGGGAGUACGGCCGCAAGGCUGAAACUCAAAGAAAUUUGGACGGA